This 233-nucleotide unclassified non-coding RNA is filed under the name Hevea brasiliensis (rubber tree). The record is from RNAcentral. Lineage: Eukaryota; Viridiplantae; Streptophyta; Magnoliopsida; Malpighiales; Euphorbiaceae.
CUUUGUGAUGGUAUUUGUCGAAUAAAAAAGGGGCCCUGUAAGUGUUUUGCAUCACAGAUUUAUAAUGUCAAACGUUUAGAUUGAAAAUCCCAGAAAUGAGGCUAUGUGAUAUUUGAAUGCUUUAAGAGGGAGAAUGCAGACCAAGUUUUACUGUUCAGUAUUGAAAUUACUUCUCUCAAAACCUAAACCUUUAUCCUUGUGACCCUGAAACUUUACCAUGCACCUAGCAGUGG